AAGAGUAAAGUACUUCCGCUUCCAUAGGUGGAGCUGGAAAGGUGGAGGCGGAAGUGACUGAUCAAUUCAGGGGUGUGGGGUUCGUUUAGGUUUUGCCCUGUGUAUGACCUCUUUUGGAGCCAUGAAACCAGGUGGCUUUUCUACAAUAUAAAGAUGGAAAUGGGAUGAAGAUGUUCAUUGCAAAUUAGGAAAGCUCUUCCACAAGUUCACCAAUGGAAAUAACAUCAAGAGUUUUUCAUCGUCUUAGUGUGCAAGGUAUGGAUAUUCUGUGUGUGAACUUCAAGAGUAUCUAAGGGAGGCAAUAAUGCGGUUGAGAAUAUACCAAAGACUACAAACUGUCUGUGCAUCCCAGAGGAACAGGAAGCUUGUGCAGGUGAAAAGACUGGAGGAGGAAGUAUGUUGAUGAUACCCAGGAAGCCCACCUUCCACUUCUUUGGUCAUCAGAAGUAAGAAAAAGGACAAUUAAAUGAAUGGUUAAUAGUUGUUGAGAGAAAGAGAAUUUUAACUUUAUAUGCCAGUCAUUGAUAAUAUUUGCCAUAGUGGUUGCUGUUAAGUAAGUUUCUUCCUGCAGGCCUGUGAGAAGGCAUAGUACAUGAAAGUGGCAGUGCUUUCAACCUGAUUAUUCUUAUACAGUAUAGACUUUUAUUAUAUAACAAGCAAUACUUACAUUUUCUUAUUUACUUAUUUAUUACUAUACACUUAGACAUAUGGAGACACAGUAAUAAACAUCUAAGUGGUACAAAUAGGUACAAAACCAAAAAUAAAAGUCUUUGCCUUCUAACUUC
This 785-nucleotide non-coding RNA is filed under the name Pongo abelii (Sumatran orangutan). The record is from RNAcentral. Lineage: Eukaryota; Metazoa; Chordata; Mammalia; Primates; Hominidae.